This 501-nucleotide ribosomal RNA is filed under the name uncultured Desulfobulbus sp. RNAcentral's name for it is "bacterial SSU rRNA". It matches the Rfam family "Bacterial small subunit ribosomal RNA", at positions 904 to 1382 of the family's 1533-position model. The record is from RNAcentral. Lineage: Bacteria; Pseudomonadati; Thermodesulfobacteriota; Desulfobulbia; Desulfobulbales; Desulfobulbaceae.
GCCCGCUCAAGAAACUUAAUGAAUUGGACGGGGCCCGCACAAGCGGUGGAGUAUGUGGUUUAAUUCGAUGCAACGCGAAGAACCUUACCUGGUCUUGACAUCCCGGAGACCCUUAGGAAACUAGGGGGUGCUUCCAUCUGGAAGAAUCUGGAGACAGGUGCUGCAUGGCUGUCGUCAGCUCGUGUCGUGAGAUGUUGGGUUAAGUCCCGCAACGAGCGCAACCCUUGCCUUUAGUUGCCAGCAGUUCGGCUGGGCACUCUAAAGGGACUGCCGGUGUUAAACCGGAGGAAGGUGGGGAUGACGUCAAGUCCUCAUGGCCUUUAUGACCAGGGCUACACACGUACUACAAUGGCCGAUACAAAGGGCAGCGACACUGCGAGGUGAAGCCAAUCCCGUAAAAUCGGUCUCAGUCCGGAUUGGAGUCUGCAACUCGACUCCAUGAAGUUGGAAUCGCUAGUAAUCGUGGAUCAGCAUGCCACGGUGAAUACGUUCCCGGGCCUU